Molecule: ribosomal RNA, 159 nt
Filed under: Phaeopyxis punctum
Lineage: Eukaryota; Fungi; Ascomycota; Lecanoromycetes
Description: 5.8S ribosomal RNA
Rfam family: 5.8S ribosomal RNA
About the family: 5.8S ribosomal RNA (5.8S rRNA) is a component of the large subunit of the eukaryotic ribosome. It is transcribed by RNA polymerase I as part of the 45S precursor that also contains 18S and 28S rRNA. Functionally, it is thought that 5.8S rRNA may be involved in ribosome translocation.
Source: RNAcentral
AAAACUUUCAACAACGGAUCUCUUGGUUCUGGAAUCGAUGAAAAACGCAGCGAAAUGCGAUAAGUAAUGUGAAUUGCAAAAUUCAGUGAAUCAUCCAAUCUUUGAACGCACAUUGCGCCCUCUGGCAUUCUGGGGGGCAUGCCUGUUCGAGCGUCAUUA